Oryzias melastigma (Indian medaka) is the source of this 1589-nucleotide long non-coding RNA. RefSeq lists it as uncharacterized. The transcript has 3 exons. The record is from RefSeq and is a predicted model, not a curated record. Lineage: Eukaryota; Metazoa; Chordata; Actinopteri; Beloniformes; Adrianichthyidae.
GUCAGAAUUGCUUUGGAGAACGAAGUGAGGUCACGUACUGACUCCUUCUCAUUUUCCAGCUUGGUGCGCCAUAUGACUGAAGUUCAAAAAUAGAGCAUGCAUUGUCAGUGCACCUUAUAAUCCAGCUCCCUACAGUGCGGAAAAUACGUGUUGCUGAAACAAAGAUGCCUAAACAAGCAAGCCGAGAAGCAGGUGAGAAGCCUCGAAUCCGCACGUGGAAGCGAGCUCCUUUUGGCUAUAUGCGCUUAUCUCUGUUCACAGAGCAGGGUUGGCAAACAAAGCCACCGUCGUAUGUCAAUGCAAAUGAAAGUCAUUGCGUCGCAUGCUUCUUAAUGCUGUGCUGUGGAUCGCUGAAGGUUUUGCUACAAUCUGCCUUUGGUGAAUCUCCUGAGGAGCAGUGUAGGCACAAUGCAGGAGCUGGAAACUGCUGGUUUAAAAAAAUAAAUAAAAAACAUCCUGCACAUGGUGGAACGUGCCCAGCAUUGAAUGAUAAGGAUGUUAGACCAGAUGGUUUAGUGAUUGAAUGAUGACUCAUUUUAACUUUCUUGUGAAGCCCAGUUUUUUAUUGUUUAGCAAAACAGACAAACUUUUGGUCGUGAAAUAAAGAAAAAACAUAAAUACCCACGGUCUUUGUGAUUUUAGGAAGUAAGAUGCUUGUUCUGACAGAUUAUCCACAUGGUAAUUAUCAUAAUGUAUCUGCAUGUGAAGGUACAUGAAGUCUGAGCCUGUCAUGACACAUGUGAUAGCUCAUCAAUGAUUGACAGCACACAGCAUCACACCUGCGUCCUACAUAUCUAUUUUUUCAAACUAAGUUGGCAAAUCACAAGCGAGUAAAAGCAAAACCCCCAUUUAUGAUAAGAUUAUAAUGUUUUAAUCAAUUUGAAAAACAAUAAAUGCCACGAUUUAUGUGCAACAGCAAAAGCAGAUUGUGUUUUUUUUGUGUUAGCCAUAUGCCUUGAGCAGGCACAGAAGACUCCAACUUGAGUGAAAAAAUACUUGGGGCGACAUCAUAAUGCUUUCUGACCUUUGCGUCACAGCAGAUCAAAGGCAUCAGUUCAAGGAUCCAGUAAAAGAAGCCUUUUCUUUUUUUUUCUUCUAUUCAAAACAAUUCAUAAACAGAGUAUGUCUUGUACAGUCAGUGAAAAGAAAUGUCACCUUUGUGGCAGAGUACCACAUUAUUAUUUUUUAUUCAUACAAUCACAUUUUCUGCUAACUGAAUUUUUCCUACUAACCACUGAAUAGGACUUUUUCACAUAUUCUAGGAAAGUGCACAAAAUAUUGUUCAUACCAUCUAUGAGUGUAAAAUUUAACAGCUAAAAACAUAAUGCUUUUGACAGAAAAAUGACCUCAAACUUAAAAGAAACUUUAGGUAGCUAGAAAUGGAGCAUAAUCAUCCCCAUCUGCCCAUCCAAGCUGUGCCAAAGUUGUUAGACGCAUCUUCAGCUCCAGUGCAGUUUCUUAUUGUUUUUUAUUCCUGGUAAGAUUGUUAUUUUUUUCACCUUAACCAGGUGUGUUUUCUUCUGCCGCAACUCGUUCUGACACUCUGCAUCAAACACUUUAAGAUCAAUGAUGCAAACGCUUUCACACAU